RNAcentral lists this long non-coding RNA (913 nucleotides) under Sus scrofa (pig). RNAcentral's name for it is "lncRNA (ENSSSCG00005040586.1)". The record is from RNAcentral. Lineage: Eukaryota; Metazoa; Chordata; Mammalia; Artiodactyla; Suidae.
UUUUUUUUUUUUUUUGUCUUUUGUCUGUUGUUGUUGUUGUUGCUAUUUCUUGGGCCGCUCCCGCGGCAUAUGGAGAUUCCCAGGCUAGGGGUUGAAUUGGAGCUGUAGCCACCGGCCUACGCCAGAGCCACAGCAACGCGGGAUCCGAGCCGCGUCUGCAACCUACACCACAGCUCAGGGCAAUGCCCGAUCGUUAACCCACUGAGCAAGGGCAGGGACGGAACCCGCAACCUCAUGGUUCCUAGUCGGAUUCGUUAACCACUGCGCCACGACGGGAACUCCCCAUUUAUAUAAUUUUAAAGUGUAUGGUUUAAUGGCAUCAAGUACACAUUAUUGUGCAACUAUCACCACUAUCCAUCUACCCUUUCACAACCACACUCACCAAUACCCCUAACCCUCCAAUCCCUAAUCUCUGAAAACACUAAUCUGUUCUCUCUCUCUUUUUUUUUUUUUUGGCUUUUUAGGGACAUGGCUGUGGCAUAUGGAGGUUCCCAGGCUAGGGGUCUAAUCCGAGCCGUAGCCGCCGGCCUACUUCACAGCCACAGCAGCGCGGGAUCCAAGCCGCGUCUGUGACCUACACCACAGCUCACGGCAACGCCAGAUCCUUAACCCACCGAACAAGGCCAGGGAUCGAACCCGCAACAUGGUUCCCAGUCGGAUUCGUUAACCACUGCGCCACGACGGGAACUCCCUUACUACAGUUUCUUAAUCAUUUACCUGCAGAAGGACAUCUGCGCUGUUUCCAGUUUUCAGCUAUUACCAAUAAAGGUGCCGUGAACAUUCGUGCACAGUUUUUUGUGGGACCAUGUUUUCAUCUCCUUCGGGAUAAAGGUUAGAAGUACACUUACUGGGUCCUGUGUUAGGUGCUUAUUAAUUUGAAAACAAACUCUUGGCUUGCUCUCAUGUUCUCAAA